This 355-nucleotide unclassified non-coding RNA is filed under the name soil metagenome. RNAcentral's name for it is "partial contains 5.8S ribosomal RNA, internal transcribed spacer 2, and large subunit ribosomal RNA". The stretch from base 1 to 120 matches the Rfam family "5.8S ribosomal RNA", at positions 35 to 154 of the family's 154-position model. The record is from RNAcentral.
GAUGAAGAACGUAGCGAAAUGCGAUAAGUAAUGUGAAUUGCAGAAUUCAGUGAAUCAUCGAAUCUUUGAACGCACAUUGCGCCCAUUAGUAUUCUAGUGGGCAUGCCUGUUCGAGCGUCAUUAAGUCCACUUAAGCCUAGCUUAGUGUUGGGAGACUGCUCCAGUGGUGCUACCCUGUAGCUACCCUGCAGCUCCUUAAAGACAGCGGCGGAGUCGUGUUAUCCUCUGAGCUUAGUAAAUCAUUCUAGCUUUCGAGAGUAUCCCUUCACCUGCCGUUAAACCACCUAAUUUUUAUGGUUGACCUCGGAUCAGGUAGGAAUACCCGCUGAACUUAAGCAUAUCAAUAAGCGGAGGA